Molecule: non-coding RNA, 87 nt
Filed under: Candidatus Omnitrophota bacterium
Lineage: Bacteria; Pseudomonadati; Candidatus Omnitrophota
Description: Omnitrophica WOR c-di-GMP sequence
Rfam family: c-di-GMP-I riboswitch aptamer
About the family: GEMM was predicted in a large-scale screen for bacterial structured RNA regulatory elements. Genes associated with GEMM are involved in a diverse array of functions, including chemotaxis regulation, signal transduction, secretion and chitin.
Source: RNAcentral
GAAGCGAAAAGGCAAAUCUAUCGCGAGGUAGAGGCGCAAAGCCACGGGUCUUGGGAGAAUUGAAAAUAAGAUAGCCGGGUUGUCGAC